UGAAGCUUUGAACUUGGGAUCCUCCUGCCUCAGCCUCCUGAGCUGCUGGGAUGACCGGUGUGCGCCCCUCCCCCAGCUGCAGUGCGCAUCUCUGCACCCAUUUUCACUUCCAAAGGCAGAUUCCUGUGUGUGGAGUCAGAUCAUCAACUGCAGGGUCAGAAGACACGCAGCCCCAAACUUUCAUCAUAAAAAUGAUCAAACAUACAGAAAAAUCAUACAGGGCACACGUGUUUGCCCAGCAGCUAGGCCAUGCCGUUGCUAACACUGUGCUCUAUACUCGGCCACCCAUGGCACAUGUUACAAAAGUGCUCUUCAAAGUAAGUUGUAGACCUCGGUCCUCUGUGGCCUUGCACUCCUCAUACACACUAUUAACUGGAAGGCCAAGGUCUGUAGGGCUUUGACCCUGGGCACUGAACUUCCUGUAGGAAACAGAUACCAGUUUCAUUUCCACGUGUGUGAGUAUGUCUGACUCACCAGGGCUUUGCCAACGCCGGUAUGGUUUUUUCAUUAUUAUUAUUAUUUUUUUUUAUUUCAGCACUGGGUUUGGAACCCAGGGUCUUGCAUAUGCUAGAGCACAUACUCUACCACUGAACCACAUCCCAGCCCUUCUUACUUUUUGUUUAGAGAUAGGGCCUUGCUAAGUUGCUGAGGCUGGCCUUGAACUUGUGAUCCUCCUGCCUCAGCCUCUUGAGGCCCUGAGACGACAGUCGUGUGCAUCCGCUUGGGCAGGAUCAUUUUAAAUAUGUCUGAUCUACUGUGCCCAGACUUCCCACCUCAGGGACUUUCACAAAGCUCUGUCCCCUCCAACUCUCCCUAUAUUUCUGGUGUGGCUUUCCUGAGGCCCUAGUGUGUGUGUGUGUGGGUGGGGGGCUGCUGUCUGUCCCACCCUAGAAGUCCCCGGCUGCCUGGGGAGGGAAGGCUGUGAAGUGACCGCCAGCUGGUGGACCCUCUCUGACAGGGAAAUGGGCCGAGUGUGGAGGUCAGAAGCCCUGGACCGGGUAGGCUGCCUGGGAAGGUGAGGUGGGGGCCUGUGGCGUGGUGUCUGCCCCGAGCCUGCUGCUUCCUAACAUGCAGGACAGGC
RNAcentral lists this long non-coding RNA (1081 nucleotides) under Marmota monax (woodchuck). Lineage: Eukaryota; Metazoa; Chordata; Mammalia; Rodentia; Sciuridae. The record is from RNAcentral.